AGGACGAACGCUGGCGGCGUGCCUAAUACAUGCAAGUCGAACGGUCUUUCUAUGGAAGCUUGCUUCCACUGAGAAGAUAGUGGCGAACGGGUGAGUAACACGUGGGUAACCUGCCCAUAAGAGGGGGGAUAACAUCCGGAAACGGGUGCUAAUACCGCAUAGUUUUCUUGAUCGCAUGAUUGAGAAAGGAAAGACGGCCUUUGUGCUGUCGCUUAUGGAUGGACCCGCGGCGUAUUAGUUAGUUGGUGAGGUAAUGGCUCACCAAGACGAUGAUACGUAGCCGACCUGAGAGGGUGAUCGGCCACAUUGGGACUGAGACACGGCCCAAACUCCUACGGGAGGCAGCAGUAGGGAAUCUUCCGCAAUGGACGAAAGUCUGACGGAGCAACGCCGCGUGAGUGAAAGAAGGUUUUCGGAUCGUAAAACUCUGUUGUCAGAGAAGAACAAGUUGGAGAGUAACUGCUCCAGCCUUGACGGUAUCUGACCAGAAAGCCACGGCUAACUACGUGCCAGCCGCCGC
RNAcentral lists this ribosomal RNA (520 nucleotides) under uncultured bacterium. Its description in RNAcentral is "bacterial SSU rRNA". It matches the Rfam family "Bacterial small subunit ribosomal RNA", at positions 26 to 518 of the family's 1533-position model. The record is from RNAcentral.